UGGGGAAUUUUGCGCAAUGGGGGAAACCCCGACGCAGCAACGCCGCGUGAGUGAUGAAGGCCUUCGGGUCGUAAAGCUCUGUCAGAGGGGAAGAAAUGCAGGGGUGCUAGUAUCAUCUUUGCUUGACGGUACCCUCAAAGGAAGCACCGGCUAACUCCGUGCCAGCAGCCGCGGUAAUACGGAGGGUGCGAGCGUUGUUCGGAAUUAUUGGGCGUAAAGCGCGUGUAGGCGGUUUGGUAAGUCUGAUGUGAAGGCCCCGGGCUCAACCUGGGAAGUGCAUUGGAAACUGUCAGACUUGAAUACGGGGGAGGGUAGUGGAAUUCCUAGUGUAGGAGUGAAAUCCGUAGAUAUUAGGAGGAACUCCGGUGGCGAAGGCGGCUACCUGGACCGAUAUUGACGCUGAGACGCGAAAGCGUGGGGAGCAAACAG
Molecule: ribosomal RNA, 429 nt
Filed under: uncultured bacterium
Lineage: Bacteria
Description: bacterial SSU rRNA
Rfam family: Bacterial small subunit ribosomal RNA
Source: RNAcentral